ACAGCAGUGAGGAAGGCAGGUACGUUAAUAGCGUGCUUGUUUGACGUUAGCUGCAGAAGAAGCACCGGCUAACUCCGUGCCAGCAGCCGCGGUAAUACGGAGGGUGCGAGCGUUAAUCGGAAUUUACUGGGACGUAAAGCGCAUGCAGGUGUUUGUUAAGUCAGAUGUGAAAGCCCGGGGCUCAACCUCGGAAUUGCAUUUUGAAACUGGCAGACUAGAGUACUGUAGAGGGGGUAGAAUUUCAGGUGUAGCGGUGAAAUGCGUAGAGAUCUGAAGGAAUACCGGUGGCGAAGGCGGCCCCCUCGGACAGAUACUGACACUCAGAUGCGAAAGCGUGGGGAGCAAACAGGAUUAGAUACCCUGGUAG
RNAcentral lists this ribosomal RNA (367 nucleotides) under uncultured bacterium. RNAcentral's name for it is "bacterial SSU rRNA". It matches the Rfam family "Bacterial small subunit ribosomal RNA", at positions 434 to 793 of the family's 1533-position model. The record is from RNAcentral.